CCUACGGGGCGCAGCAGUGGGGAAUAUUGCACAAUGGGGGAAACCCUGAUGCAGCGACGCCGCGUGAGCGAAGAAGUAUUUCGGUAUGUAAAGCUCUAUCAGCAGGGAAGAAAAUGACGGUACCUGAGUAAGAAGCUCCGGCUAAAUACGUGCCAGCAGCCGCGGUAAUACGUAUGGAGCAAGCGUUAUCCGGAUUUACUGGGUGUAAAGGGAGCGCAGGCGGUCUGGCAAGUCUGAUGUGAAAUACCGGGGCUCAACUCCGGGACUGCAUUGGAAACUGUCAGACUGGAGUGUCGGAGAGGCAG
This 305-nucleotide ribosomal RNA is filed under the name uncultured bacterium. Its description in RNAcentral is "bacterial SSU rRNA". It matches the Rfam family "Bacterial small subunit ribosomal RNA", at positions 338 to 660 of the family's 1533-position model. The record is from RNAcentral.